Long non-coding RNA from Larimichthys crocea (large yellow croaker), 568 nucleotides. RefSeq lists it as uncharacterized. The record is from RefSeq and is a predicted model, not a curated record. Lineage: Eukaryota; Metazoa; Chordata; Actinopteri; Sciaenidae. The transcript has 4 exons.
CAUCAGGCUUUCUCAAAGGCGACAUCCUGGACCACACCAGCACUUUUGUUCUGGCUGAUGCCAUCGUUCAAAGGUUCAGAGACCUGCUUGAGAUUUGCUAUGUGGGAUAUCAUUUUCUCUUGGCCACGUUACUGCCGGUAGCAGCUUGCCCGUUGGGAGGAGGGUCAACUGAGGGCCCUGCCGCGCUUCGGCAGGCGCCAGGGACCAGAGGUCACCCACUGCCUGCUGGAGAUACAGAGCAACUUCCACCGCUGCCUACAGAUUCUGAACUUUGUUGGCACAGGCAUCCUGGACGUCGAAACACCACCUGGCACAAUUAUUACAACAGGUGCUGUAGAAGCUUCACUUAACGCCUGAGACGGGACAGAGAGAGCACAGCUACUGCUACAGUAACAGGCACACAGAAAAGGCCAACAGCAUUCAUCAGGAAGAAAUAGCACCGAACAUCCAGUUUGUCAUGCUGGACUGCUCAGCACUCAUUGCGCCCUCGUUUCCAGUACUGCAAUGAGUGGCAGAACAAGUUCACUCAGCUGCCAACACCUGCCUCACAGAAACCACAAGACAAUGC